GAAAGAAAAUAGAUGAACCAACUUAAAAUCGUUAAAGGACACGUGGAUGAUGAACAACUUUAGAAACUACAACGUUGCCUGUGGGGGAGUCGACGUUUUUCUGCGAUACAAAAAAUUUGAAUGAAAGAAUAGUAAGAAUCAGCCUUGGGAAAUAUCAACCAGGAGAAUUCAGGGAAGAUUCUUCCUAACAGAAGUACUUGAUGAAGAAUUGAUGGAAAUACUGAAGCAGA
This 230-nucleotide long non-coding RNA is filed under the name Gossypium barbadense (sea-island cotton). RNAcentral's name for it is "long non-coding RNA (GBAR_LNC021202)". The record is from RNAcentral. Lineage: Eukaryota; Viridiplantae; Streptophyta; Magnoliopsida; Malvales; Malvaceae.